RNAcentral lists this ribosomal RNA (385 nucleotides) under uncultured fungus. RNAcentral's name for it is "eukaryotic LSU rRNA". The stretch from base 1 to 71 matches the Rfam family "5.8S ribosomal RNA", at positions 84 to 154 of the family's 154-position model. The record is from RNAcentral. Lineage: Eukaryota; Fungi.
GUGAGUCAUCGAGUCUUUGAACACACCUUGCGCUCUUGGGUAUUCCCAAGAGCAUGCCUGUUGGAGUGUCAUGAAUCCCUCAACACGAACCGUUUUUUAAUGAAAGCGAGUUUGAUCGUUGGAUGUGAGCGCAAUGCCUUUCGCAAGAAUGGCUCGCUUGAAAUGGAUUUGUGGGCUGCUCAUGUGCACAACAAUGUGCUCGGAUAGCAUCUUGGCCUUUUCAUCGUUAUGGUUUUCCUUCGAUGAAGUCUGGGCCUUGAGGCAACAUGUUCGAGCGGGCAUUGGCACCGAGUUGGCUUGCUUUCUAACCCAAUCUAAUUCAUCACAUCUGGCCUCCAAUCAGGUAGGACUACCCGCUGAACUUAAGCAUAUCAAUAAGCGGAGG